CCUGCUUUCAACUUCCAUCAUUGCCUCUUUGGUGUUAUUAGUGUCACAACACUCAAGAACAGAAGGUACACUGUAAAACAAUGGAAGUGAGAUGAAUUAAAGUGGUCCAACACUACUAUUUAGGUGCAUGUGGUGUCCGAAAAGGAAGGUACACCGUUCUUUGGAGGAUUCCCUGAAACAAAGCACUGGAACACUUGAAGUGUGCAAACAAAGAGUUUAUUAGGAACAGUGGCUCAUGUCACAAACUCACUUCACACCACGGAACCUCAUCUGCGUUCGCGCGAAAAAGCCCCCGUUAUAUAUAGUGCCCCCAAUAACGGUUCCCGCUUCUUUUAGGAACUAACCAAUAACAAUUAUCCUUUGUCAACUUAAACCCUACAGGCCGGCAGGAACCUUUCUUUUACAAAACUCUUGAGGAUUCGUUCUUGGUGUAAAAUACCACAGUGCAAUUUACUGAUAUCUGCCAGCUGGCUACAAAAACAAUUUGCAAUGACCGUGCAGCAAAACAAACAAAAAAAAUGUUGUCUUAAAUAAGCUGAGAAACGCCAAUAUUUUUGAAAACUUGCCACUGGGCCGUUGGUCAAUGCAGGAGACUGCAAUGCAGAGGUGGAACCGCUCAUCCUCACCACAAGGUGGCACUGUUGCUACUGUCGGAAUACGAAAAACGCCUUCGUUGACAAGCAGAAAGUGAAAGAAAAGUCAGACGUUACACAACGUACGCUUCGAGGAUAUUUUAUUCUCACCGUUUCAAAAGGACAUUUUCUGUUUCUCCCAUUAUAUUCUGUGGAUAACUGAAGUUGAGAGGAGUGAAAGUCUCUACAGGUAUAGGAGCUGACGCAUCCACUGAAGAGAAUAUGCGCGGAUACUCUCAUUUUUUGAUUCUACUGAGUCACGUAUCAGAAGUCUUGGCCGUAGUCGACAUGAAGUGCAGUGCCGAGAGUCGCGACAGAAGCGCUGUGCUGACAUGUGUAGCAGCUGGAAACUGUGAAGAGCAAGUCACCAUUGCUCACCUCAUGUGGAAAAGGGAUUCAGUGCCACUUGUUACACUGUCAGAAAACGGAAUUGAGAGCAAGGAACCAGAGCGCUUUGAAUUAAAGGAGGAGCCAUGGCAUGCCGAUUCCUGGGCCACUUCUCUGCAGAUAAACAACGUUAAAAGUCAGGACAAGGGAAGGUACAGCUGUAGUGUAAUCACUGAUUGUGGUGUAUGGAAAGGAUCAGUUUAUUUGGACAUUCCAGAAACCGUGGAACUCCCGAAUCCAACACCACCACCACCACCGUCAGCAGAUAAUGGAGUAAUUGGAAAACGGGAACAGGACCCGAUACCCCCUGCUGAAAACACAGGACACCAUAAAGCAGCACUGGCAGGAACCGUUGCAACCCUUGUUGUGCUGAUCGCUGUGUUUGUUGCUGUGCGAAAACGGCAUCUCAUUGAGCAGCAGACGAGCAGGUUGCGGUUCAUUUUCCAUAAAAGAGCCGCACAAGCAGAAGAGGAACAGGAGCAGUACACCAAGAACAUCACGGAAGAGCAUGAUCCAGUGUAGAGAAGAUGGCACAGACACAAAUUUGGGGGUCUCUCCCCACUGCUCUUCCCCCUGUACACCAACAACUGCACCGCUAAAGACCCCUCUCUCAAACUCCUGAAGUUCGCAGACGACACCACACUCAUUGGCCUCAUCCGGGAUGGUGAAGUUCAACCUGCCACAGGAGCUACUGAUGCAAUUCUACUCUGCAGUCAUUGAGUCGGUCCUCUGCACCUCUAUAACUGUCUGGUUCGGCCCAGCUACGAAAUUAGAUAUCAGAAGAUUACAGCAGAUAGUUCGGACUGCUGGAAGAAUCAUCGGCACAUCCCCCCCAGCUCUCCAAGAAUUGCACUCGUCCAGAGUCAGUAAAAGGGCUAGCAAAAUCAUUCUAGACCCCUCACAUCCAGGCCACUUCCUCUUCGAACCUUUGCCAUCUGGCCUGCGCUACAGAGCACUGAGCACCAGGACAGCCAGGCAUAAGAAAAGUUUCUUUCCUCAGGCCAUCUACUUCAUGAAGAGCUAAAUCCCCCCCCCCCCCCCCAGAGAGUAAACCAGUACAAUACACAACACUGUUUAUAUUUAGAAUUAUAUCUAUUUAUCACGUCAUAUGUCUUACUCACACUUCCUUGCAUUUGUAACUAGUGACUACUUUUGUAUAUAAUAUUGGAUACUGUAUAUUUUAUAUAUUUUUUUAUCCUUUAUUCACAUAUUCUAUCUUCUCAUCUGUGUCUUGUCACUGUCAUUCUGUCUGUGCUGUGGAAGUUUCUGUCACCAAGACAAAUUCGUUGUAUGUGUGAACAUACUUGGCAAUAAAGCUCGUUCUGAUUCUCA
Molecule: long non-coding RNA, 2351 nt
Organism: Scleropages formosus (Asian bonytongue)
Lineage: Eukaryota; Metazoa; Chordata; Actinopteri; Osteoglossiformes; Osteoglossidae
Source: Ensembl